AGGAGACAAACUCGCUGGUGGUCUGCUCAUGGCACCUCUUGGAUAGUAAGACUCUGGAUUAUUUUUUAAGGAAAAGAGUUUAAAUUGUGUUUCUGACCAAAUGGAGUGAAACAGGAGGUAUAAUGGAUGAAAAGUGCUGAACAGUGAAUGUUUGAGGACUACUGGAGACUUGCAUUCGUUGCUCUCUUACUAAGCUAUUGUUUGAAAGAUGGAAUAGGAAUAUUUUGGCAGUAAUCCUAUGAUAUGAAGAGGCCUUGAAAAGAAUCAGUCCACUCCAAAAUGUGGUAAAAUCAGAGCUAAAGAAGUCAGGAUAAAAAGUGAUCUUUUCUUUUUGUGAUAGUUUCUAUAAAGAUUUCAAAGCCUUUCACAGUAAGUACUACAGCUGUUUGACAUGCUAAACCAUCUUUCUUAUGUCAUAUAUGAAUUUAACUCACAAUUAGAGCCCAUUUUUG
This 452-nucleotide long non-coding RNA is filed under the name Felis catus (domestic cat). Its description in RNAcentral is "lncRNA (ENSFCAG00000050102.1)". The record is from RNAcentral. Lineage: Eukaryota; Metazoa; Chordata; Mammalia; Carnivora; Felidae.